Molecule: long non-coding RNA, 1216 nt
Organism: Oreochromis niloticus (Nile tilapia)
Lineage: Eukaryota; Metazoa; Chordata; Actinopteri; Cichliformes; Cichlidae
Exons: 5
Source: RefSeq, a predicted model, not a curated record
UCAUCAGUGUUUGAGCAGUUAUGAUAUCAGGGACAAUCUAGACAUGUGUGACAAUACUGAACAUGUCACAUGACUCACCUUAAACAUCAUGUGAUCCACUCUCAGUCUGCACUUUCAUUCAUGACUUCAACAGGUUGAAAUGAGCUUUGAAGAAACAUUCAGUGAAAUAAAUCUUUCAUGGAUUCAUGUGAGCAGCAGAUGAACUUUGUACCAACAACAUCUUCAAUAACAGAAUCUGAAUGAAGCUCAGGUGUUGAUGCUGCUCCCUGAUUGGACGGUUGGUUUCAGCUCUGCUCUCAGUCUUUACUGCACAGGUGAAGGUAGAAAGUGUGACUGGAUCUAUAGACUGGAAACAGAGAAACAUGCUGAACAUUUGAAGCUUUGCAGCAGAAAUGUUCAUGUUACAAAUACAGCAGAGCUGAUCUGGGAUCAGUGUGUUCACACCUGCAGCUACAACAAGGUUUCAUGUCUCCACACGUCAGCAUGUGAACUUUACUCUGACUCAGUCUGAGCAGUCAGACGGCAUAUUUUUAAAGUUAACACAUCAGCACACACAGAGCUGAGCCCCUCCCACCUGUGCUGAGCUUCAGGUGGAGUCCCGCCUCCUUCCAGGAAGCAGCUCACCUGUGUGUCCGUGUUUAGUGUCCAGGUGUGGAGUGGAGCUUGUUGUUGGUGUGAAGAAACUGUCCUUAGAUCACAUGACCUGGAUGACUGAACCUACAGACAUAUUGACCUGGUUUCUAGGUUACAUGAAAGACUGACUGAAGAUGAUGAUGGAGGAAGAGGAGGACAGAGCAGAGUCUGCAGGGUCCAGCUGUCCGUCUGUGAGGAGUGACGGGUCCAAAGGUCUAAAUGCAGCCUUCAGUGGUGAACCUGGACCAACGAGAGGUCAGAGGUCACAGUCUGCAGGGUCCAGCUGUCCGUCUGUGAGGAGUGACCGGUCCAAAGGUCGACCUCCAGCCUUCAGUGGUGAACCUGGACCAACGAGAGUGGACCAGCAGAGCUCAGAGGUUCCCAGUGGUCAGUCUGCCCAGCAGCAUCAAACACAGCUGGACUCCAUAUUUAUGGUCUGUACAUGAACAACAACUACUGUUACAUCUGUUCUGUCCACAGUCAUCUCCAUGCUGCUCUUUGUAGACCAGUGUCAGUGUGUCCAACAUGGAUCUGAUGUUUGGCUCCAUGAUUUCAGUCUGAUUGGCUCAUUCAUAAAUAUUCU